GAUGAACGCUGGCGGCGUGCCUAAUACAUGCAAGUCGAGCGAACAGAUAAGGAGCUUGCUCCUUUGACGUUAGCGGCGGACGGGUGAGUAACACGUGGAUAACCUACCUAUAAGACUGGGAUAACUUCGGGAAACCGGAGCUAAUACCGGAUAACAUAUUGAACCGCAUGGUUCAAUAUUGAAAGGCGGCUUUGCUGUCACUUAUAGAUGGAUCCGCGCCGUAUUAGCUAGUUGGUAAGGUAACGGCUUACCAAGGCAACGAUACGUAGCCGACCUGAGAGGGUGAUCGGCCACACUGGAACUGAGACACGGUCCAGACUCCUACGGGAGGCAGCAGUAGGGAAUCUUCCGCAAUGGGCGAAAGCCUGACGGAGCAACGCCGCGUGAGUGAUGAAGGUCUUCGGAUCGUAAAACUCUGUUAUCAGGGAAGAACAAAUGUGUAAGUAACUGUGCACAUCUUGACGGUACCUGAUCAGAAAGCCACGGCUAACUACGUG
RNAcentral lists this ribosomal RNA (497 nucleotides) under uncultured bacterium. Its description in RNAcentral is "partial 16S ribosomal RNA". It matches the Rfam family "Bacterial small subunit ribosomal RNA", at positions 28 to 507 of the family's 1533-position model. The record is from RNAcentral.